AUGACAUCUGCACAUCGUCGCUUCUUAUCUCCCAGCCGCCACCUGCAUAGGGCACACUCCGACCAUGCAACCGCCAAGGUCGCCGACCACAUCGUGCACGUCCACGCCAUCGACCUCGGCGGACGGUGCCGCAAUGUUCGUCAGUAUGUCCUGUUGGUUGAGGAGCGCGAAGGAAGUGGGCUGAGGGAAGUGGGGGCGGCGGCAGAAGCAGCAUGGGUGUCCUACGGUGAGCGCUUUGAGGGAUUCUGCAGAGCAGUUCUCCCCGGAGGCCUGAUGCAUCCAACCGUACAAGGAAACUUGAAAACUACACCACAACUCUUAGGCUUGCCAAAAUAUGAGGAUUAUCACUCAGUCAUGAGCGAAACUGGAUGUACCCGGUAAGGAUGGAGGCGAGAUGGGGCCAUAGAGCCCCCUUUUGCGCAGGAGGGAGUAUGUCUGAGCCGAAGGCAACAAUUGUGGCCGCUUCCAGAGCCGAAGCCACCUGCGGAGUCAAUGUCAUGGUCGCCCCAGAGCGGAAUCCAUCGCCUAGGCCACAAGAGUAGGAGCUGCUGUCGCGGAGGUCAUCUCUGAACCUAUACUGAACUUUCUAUGGAUGGAGGUCAAGACCAAGCUUUAGGCAGGAAAAUGGGACAAUCUUCAGUAAGCUACAAUGUUCAUGUCUUCUUAUAUCAUUUGACUGAUGUGUUCUUGUAUCAUUCUUCUACUUUCGGAGCUAUUACUGCGAUCAUUUUGACCUCAUGUCUUCUUAUAUCAUUUGACCUUAUCUAGAUAUUAGUGGUUCUUAAUCCAGCAAGGUCUUGAAUAUUUUUCGCUUUGUCCAUUCAAAAUUUUGUUCUUCUAGCAACGUUCAUGGUUUAAGCUUUGAUUCGAAAAACAACUUUCAAUUUUAUAGGAGACACAAAGAGCAACAACAAGCCGCUGUAGAUAUUAUGUAGUAGCAGCAUUAAAGAUCUGCUAAUGUUAUAUUUUCUUAUUCUUUCCUUAAUAUCUACAUGACCAACGUGUAUUUUUAAUGAUCAAACAUGCACAUGUCACAUUAAGAGGUUGAGAGUAGCUCAAAAGAUAUGCAUACAUCCUCUACCUUUUACCUAAUGAAAUAUUUCUAAAGCCAUAGUAGAUGUCAGGUGUAAAUUCCAUGAAGAACUGUUGGUUUUUGUAAUUAUUUCGUGAAACUUUCAUUGUAGGGUUCUAGGUUUGGUGAAUAAGCAGGGUUGUCUUCUUUCUUUAGUAUCUGCAUGAUCAAGUCGGUCUGUACUUUUAAUGAUCAUACCUGCACAUGUCACAUUAAGAUUGAAUAUAUUGUGACUUUUCUAACCAUUUCUUGUUAAUUGCUUGAGGAAAAACUAACAGGAAUUUUUUUCUUAGAAAUCCCAAGGAAGUAAUUGUUCUCACUGUUUUGGUAAAAUAACAUAUAUUUUUGUUGUAUGUAUACUUAAUUUCAGGAGAUGUAGAUUUUCUUGUUAUCUUAUAUAUGUUCCUUUUCUUUUUUUUUUCUUGUGAAAAAUGAGUUCAACAAGGGCUCCUCAUUCUAGCCUCCUGGGGUUGAAAUGAUUACUCCUUUAAUUGAUUUGAAGAUUGUUAAUUUUUUAUAUUUGGAAACGCUUGGAAGCUUUCCUUUGUUUUGGCGUUAUGAAGAUCUUAUGCUGCAGGGAGAUUUCACCGAUGCCACAAAGAUGCUGCUGCAUCGAACGCAUAGGAUAAGAUGAUAUUAGUAAGUAUCUAUCAUCUACAUUUUGCUUUUGUCUUCAAUUUUGUAGGAUUUCUUUUCUUUCAACAACGUUUUAGAAAUAUAAAUACUUUCUUAUAUGUUUAUCCAGCCAUCCACAUUUAACUAGGUUGCAAAGAACAUUGAAGUGAUAACUGCAUGUGUAAGUACCAUGGAUGAGCUAGCAAAACAUACAUUUUUAUGCUAGAGUGCAUAUGGAUUAGGUAUGUGUAUUUGUUGGCAAUGUUCAUGUGUGAGAAAGCAAGGUCCAUAAGAUAUCUAGGGGAUUAGAGGUGGUAUGAUUUAAAGAUAAAGCAUCGUCUUGAGUGCUUUUUUUCAUGUGGUUGCUGCAUGGGCUUCAAAUAAUUUACUUGGGACUUCAUUCAGAAGUACAACUGGUAAUCCGAGAUCAAUACUGAGAUCAGACAUCAGAUACAAUAUAAUUUUUUUUGUACAAACAAAAUCUAUGAUAUCGUGCCAUUCUAUGAGUGUUUAGAAAUAAGUUUGGUAUCUGCUACAAUGUACAUAUAACUUGGUCAUCCUAAAGAAACUUUAUCUUGCAUAUUGCUUGGUUACAAGAUAAGAACUAAUAUGUAUUACAAAUAUCUAGGGAAAUCUUUUGAUUUUUUUGUACAUAUAUUAUCAGAGAUGCCAAAUAGCAGGUUGCUUCAAACCAGGGGAACUGACUGGUUCAUAGAUGGUAGAACGUUCAAUCUUCGACGAUGCUCAGGGAGCAAACAAGGGGAAUUAGAAACCCAACAGUUAAUGGAGAAAUCAGGUCACUUUGCAUCUACUUUGCCUCAGUUUUUUCAGAAGUCAAUAGAGUUUGUAAAAAAAAGAAACAUGAUCCUGCGGCGGUUGCCCAGACUUUUUUUUUCCGGGUAGUAAUGUUUGGAUGGGACAUGUCCCUCAUUUCGUAAUCACUUUGUAAUUUCUACUUGUGCUAUGUAAUAGACGCCUUACAUAAAAAGGCAGUAUGUUUUAUAGAUACUCCCUCUGUUGAGAAUAAUUAUCACUAUAACUUUCUUUAUGAGGACUUGUUGUGUCGCAUGUUCAAUAACAGGUAGAAGAAAGGAUACACAUAUAAAUUCAUAGCAUGUAUGGUAAACUCCUG
This 2819-nucleotide ribosomal RNA is filed under the name Triticum aestivum (bread wheat). RNAcentral describes it as "partial small subunit ribosomal RNA". The record is from RNAcentral. Lineage: Eukaryota; Viridiplantae; Streptophyta; Magnoliopsida; Poales; Poaceae.